RNAcentral lists this ribosomal RNA (2188 nucleotides) under Triticum aestivum (bread wheat). RNAcentral describes it as "partial small subunit ribosomal RNA". Lineage: Eukaryota; Viridiplantae; Streptophyta; Magnoliopsida; Poales; Poaceae. The record is from RNAcentral.
CACAUAACGAACGAGAUCUCAUCUAUUCUUCCCCCUUUCUGCUCGCUGGCUACGGGAAGCCAUGCCACUACUGUGCCACCUUGUCUCGUUCAACGCCGGUGAUGUAGUCAUCGUCACGCUCCUAUCCAGCCGCGCCACGGACCACUCGGAGUGGCCGGAGGUGCUGGGGACCCGGGCGCCGUGCUGCAACGAGCAGCGGGAGGUGUUGGACCUCCAGCGGACGAGCUGUGACGGGCUGCUCCGCCGUCUAUUGGCAGCUUCGACCCCAGCUGCAACCGUCUGCAUCCGGCGCUGGAACCAGCGAGUCCCGGUGCUAUCAUCGGCUGCAGCGAUGCGGGAACCAGCUCGACGACAAGCUGCAACCCGGCUGCGUCGAGUGCUGGAACCAGCAAUCUCCGGUGCUACUACCGGCAAUGUCGGGUGCUGAAACCAGCUUUAUUUUUUGCUGGAACCUGCUACCUUUUUUGCUACAUGUCUUUUUUUUUUUUUUUUUGCUUCAUGUGAUUUGCUGGAACCGGACGUGCCACGCACCGCCGACGUCCUUUUUUUUGCUGGAACUAGCUUUAUAUUUAGCUGGAACUUGCUACUUUUUUGCUACAUCGACUUUUUCAUUUUGGUGAUGAUGGGUGGUGUUUUUGCUACAACCGCGAUUACAAAAAUUUACAACCGGUGAGCUUUUUUGCUACGAUGGCGACAAGAUGGCGGCACCGGCGAGCUAUUUUUUGCUGGAACCACACACUCUUUUUGCUACUACCGGCAAUUUUUUUGCUGCUACUGCAAGUUAGUACUUUUUUCUGCGAGCUUGUUGUCGGCGUGUUACGACCGGCGACCGACGCCACCGGAGCUGCGGCCAUCCCCAUGGGGACCUGCAACCGCUGACGCACGCUGCUGCAUGGACGGCGGCGAGAAACGCAGGAGGCGGCAGCAGCGACGCCAACCUGCUGGGAGGACGACCGCCGGCGGCAAGGGCAGCGACCGGCGGCGGGGCGGCAACAGGCGAGACGCGCCGGGCGGUGCUUCGAGGCCCCGGGCGCGUCGCUAGUCCAUGGCGGCGCGGUGGAAGCUUUUUUUUUUCUGAAAAGGAGAUGACAUCUGAUGGAGGGAGGGGAGAGAAUCGUGUGGCUACGUGACGUUUGAUCGGACGAUGCUAGUGCGACUGGCUCAAAUUUCGGCCGGCACACCAGCGCCUAUCACUCGCCUUCAAAGAAGCUAAGCAGCUUGGGUCAUCAAAACUCGUUACAGCAGUCCUGAAGUGGUACGGUACUUCCGUAAAAAGAAUCUCCUGGAGUUGUUUCUGGUCACUCGACAAUUUAAGGGAAGACCACCUAGCACCAAUUAUGGACUUUUUACAAUAUAUUUUAUUAACUUAAAAGCAUUUUACAGAGACAAGCAUGAGAGGUAGCACACUGGAUAAGAAAAAAGUUUCCCUGAUUGAACAAAGACCUGCCUCAAAACAUAAGCAGCGAAAUAGUAUAGGCCUAUUUUUGGAUUUUCAAAGCUAGGCUUGCAAAUGAUGAGCCUUGAGUCCACCGGAUACUCCGAAAAGAAAAAACUAUUUUGUACUUCCUCCGUUUUUAUUUAGUUCGCAUAUUAGUUUUAGUCAAAGUCAAGCUUUAUAAAUUUUGACCAAGUUUAUAAACAAAAAUAAGAUUUAUUGUCGAAUGUACUUUCACGUCGUAUAGAUUUAUUAUGAUAAAUGUCUAUAUUGUCUAUAUUGAUCAAAAUUUACUAAGUUUGACUUCAGUCAACCCUAAUAUACAGAGUAAAUAAAAACGGAGGGAGUAUUUGAGCAAGUAAUGGCAUGUUGUUCCAAGGGCAAGGAGCGGAGUGAAUGUCCGUCGCUUUUACUGCCAAGGCUAGCACUGAACAAUCCAUGAAGACGUGAGGAUCCUGAACAUUGAGUAUGUCCGCCAACCUGGUUGCAAGCAUGAGACCAAAAGUCUCAGCUUGAAGAGAAGAAGCAGGAGGGGACAUUGUCGCAAGACUCCAAUUCUUGCCUGUUUAGAUCAGAGCGAAUUUGUUGUAUGUGAUCGUCAUUUUGAACCUGAAUGAAGACUCCAAUUCCCGCUUGUUUAGAGGUGUUAGCUGGCUAUAUUUCUUGUGUAGUGUCACCGAAGAUUGUGUUGCUUGUAAAAGAGUCCAGAUUUUGUAUCGCCGGCCGCACCAGUUGGUCCUGUAAGCAAUGCGC